CUCGUGUUCCGGCCAGACCCUAAAACACGUUAGACGAACACUGAGACCUGCCGCCGCCGCCGAAGCCACGCCGGCCGCCUCCAUGAAAGGCCGCAGCAGCCACCGCGGGACCGCUCCCACCUCCGCCGCGGCCUCGACUUCCAGCAAGCGCGACCCCGAAGACGAGCCCGUCUCAGACUCCGAGGAAUCGGUCGACGAGGAGGUAAAAGCCCAAGCCCUCGCGUUUUCCUUAACCGCCGCGCGGAUCCGCGGAACCCUCACCGGCGGUGCGUUUGAUCCGCAGCAGGAUGUCUCCUCGUCGUUGGGGUCGGAGUCGGAGUCGGAGAACGACCAGUUAGCGGAGCGGGAGCGGAAGCUGGAGCGCGUGCUCGCCGACGUGCCCUUCGGCGAGCUGCAGCGCGCGCGUGCUGACGGGUCGCUCGCGGCGCGGGGUGUUUCUGCUGCCGCCGCGGCCCAGAAGAAGGCUCGCAGGGAGAGCAGGAAGAGGCCCAUGGAGAUUAGCACGAAUGUGCGGCCGCCUAGACUCAGGGAGGUGAUUCAGGUUCCCAAGAAGGUUGUAAGGGAUCCAAGAUUUGAACCUGUAUAUGGAGCUGUUGAUAAAGAAGGGUUCAGGAAAAGAUACAAUUUCUUAUUCGAUCAUGAUCUGCCUGCAGAAAAAGAGAAACUCCAAAAGUCGAUUAAGAAAUUGAAGGAUCCUAAUGCCAUUGAAGAAGCAAAGAAUCAAAUCACCUGGAUUGAUAAGCAGUUGAGGUCUAAUCCUCAGAAGAACGUUGAAUCAGAAAUUCUGCGUGGACAUAUUAAGAAAGAGAGGGAAGCAGCAAAGGCCGGAAAACGACCAUAUUAUCUGAAGAAAUCUGAAAUUCGUGAAAGGAAGUUGAUGGACAAGUACAAUGAGCUCAAGGAGACGGGAAAGCUUGAUUCCUUUAUGGAGAAGCGACGCAAGAAGAAUGCAUCCAAAGAUCAUCGCUUCAUGCCAUACCGAAGGGAUGGGGGUGGUGCAUAACAAUGCCCCUACAGCCGCUUUUGGGGUGAUUCUGGCUAGCCUAUCCUCUGCUCACAGAGUUGUUGUAGCAGCGCUCUCUACUAUCCUGUUGUUGCCCUAGUGUCCCAGAUAUUUAUCAGCAACCGCGAGUUGAAGCUAACCCAUGGACCAUAUAUUUAUUGUUGAGCUCUGGUUGCUGGCAGCAACAAGCAAUUGUAAACCCAAACCAUGGAGAUAAUAUUUUGUUUCAUCUACUGCUUCAAUUGAUGCCAGUCUUUCUGUGUAAUCAAGGAGUAAAGUACACUUGCUUGUUGCAACUGAACAAUAUAUUCCUUUUGUUAGUUUCCUUGAUUG
RNAcentral lists this ribosomal RNA (1336 nucleotides) under Triticum aestivum (bread wheat). RNAcentral describes it as "partial small subunit ribosomal RNA". The record is from RNAcentral. Lineage: Eukaryota; Viridiplantae; Streptophyta; Magnoliopsida; Poales; Poaceae.